RNAcentral lists this unclassified non-coding RNA (466 nucleotides) under Hevea brasiliensis (rubber tree). The record is from RNAcentral. Lineage: Eukaryota; Viridiplantae; Streptophyta; Magnoliopsida; Malpighiales; Euphorbiaceae.
UGUUUCUCUGUCUUUCAUCAUCCUGUUAAGAUGAAAAAAUAUUCUCAGAAACUUUCAUCGAGCACGAAUAGGGUGUAGUAAUUUGAGUCCAUAUUAUUUUAAAUUAAAUCUAUGCUAUAUGACAUGGACAACACUUGAAAGAUAUGUCUAUUCAUCAAAUCGAGAACAAGCGUGUCUAACAAAUGUGAAAGGAGUUUUAAUGUUACUUUACCUAGUGGUGGCAACUUAGGCUAGUAUGUCAUGUUAGUGCUAUGUUGAUAGUCGACUAUAAGAAUAUUGGAAACAAUACUAGCAUAACAAGAUUGAUUAUUUGCAUAAAAAUCAAAGAAUAUAACACAGACCAUAUAUACCAAACAAGCAACACAAAACACCAUGUGUAACUUGUUUAACUAGUUAACUUGCCAAGGCCCACCUAACAAGGAUGACUAAAAUAUAAAUUUAGCCUUUUUCAUUUUCUCUUUUUUUU